This is a long non-coding RNA of Vespa crabro (European hornet), 1436 nucleotides long. RefSeq lists it as uncharacterized. The transcript is spliced from 4 exons. The record is from RefSeq and is a predicted model, not a curated record. NCBI's taxonomy places the organism in Eukaryota, Metazoa, Arthropoda, Insecta, Hymenoptera, Vespidae.
CUCUUUCUAAACUUAUCACAUGUUUUGUAUGAAAAUGAUUAAAUUUUGUAUAUCAAGGUACGUGACGUCAAAAUGAUCUUGAAUAAAUUUUUAUUUAAUUUAUAUAAUGACAAAAAUAAGAAAGGAAUGAUUCAGUAUUAUAAUCUAUAAUAUUUCAAUUGAUAUUCAAUUGCGUAUUUUGAUAAUGAUAUUGAACGUUAUUGUACGUUUUAUUUGGACAAAAAUGAUGGGAUUAGAUGAUUGGGAACAAUAUAAUUCAGUAUUAUCCUAUGAAGAUAUUUUCAUCAAUUUUUUUAUUGUUGAUAUCAACUUGUUUACAGGUACAGAAAUGUCGAUUAAAAAUCAAUAAAUGUCGAUGAGUUCAUCAAGAAAAGAAAAAAAGGAAAAAAAAAAGAAAAAAAGAAAAAAAAAAAACAAGAAAAAAGAGAAAAGAAAAAAGAAAACGAAAAAGAGAUACAAAAACAAAAAUCCUUCGAGGUAUAUUUGAUCAAUCAGAUCCAUCAUAAUUACUAAUUACCAUGUUGGAAAAUAUAUUUGAAAUAAGUUAACUAAUUAUUUUUGGAGAGAAAAUGAGAGACUCCCAAACGAUAUUAUUUUAUUCACAAUUGUUUGUUGUGUUGUGUCUUACACGUAAAGACAAACGUGGCACACCACACAGUUGAAUUUGCUUUGGAUCUUCGAUAGUGUUUGUUGUGUGUGUUUGUUGGUAGUACCAACAGCAAGAACGUGAGCAUCGAACAGGAGGAGAGCUAGGAGGAACCGGUUUAAUCUUAUAAAUUUGAGAUCGAAUGAUCUCUUAAGAAAGAAAGAGAAAGAGAGAAGAGAUUUCGCAUACUCACCUAGUUUUCUACCCCCUUUUGCCUGCUGGUCCCAUCUUCCUCAUCUCGCGUUACCAUUUACGGCUUCACUGAGUCCACGUGGUUAUCGUGUGUUCCUUUUCUCUCUCUUUCUCUCUCUUUCUUACUUCUUGAGUACUCAACACGGAGUCUUCGAAGUUACCAAGCGAUUCUCGAAGGGUACGGAGUCAAUAUCAAUGAAGUUGUAAACAUUCUACUACCUCUUAUCUAUUCAAAGAUAUCAGAGACUUUUAGAAUAUAUGGAAAGAGAAAGAAGGAAGAUAUAGAUAACAAGGAGAGGAUGUUGAAGGAGAAAAGGAGGGGAGGAUAGAUCAUUUAAAAUUCUAAUUUUCAUAAAAUAAGAACAUCGAGUGAUCCUCUCUUCGUCGUCCACUCAACGUAUUAGAGAAACCGUACGUUGUUCUCUUGCAUUUCUUUGACUCCUUGCAACUAAUGAUCAUAACACGUUGCAUGACGGAUAGAAGAGAAAGAGAGAGAGAGAGAGAGAGAGAGAGAGAGAAGAAGAAAUAUAAAAAGAAAAGAAAAGGAGAAACGAAAGGAAAGAAGGAUAAAUAGAGCAGUAUAAAAAGAUGAUAGAAA